GGUACCGGCGAAUUGCGGAUGAUCCAUUCGCGGAUGUUGUGAAUGUU
This 47-nucleotide small RNA is filed under the name Sinorhizobium meliloti 2011. RNAcentral's name for it is "putative ncRNA". Lineage: Bacteria; Pseudomonadati; Pseudomonadota; Alphaproteobacteria; Hyphomicrobiales; Rhizobiaceae. The record is from RNAcentral.